RNAcentral lists this ribosomal RNA (620 nucleotides) under uncultured bacterium. RNAcentral's name for it is "bacterial SSU rRNA". It matches the Rfam family "Bacterial small subunit ribosomal RNA", at positions 338 to 956 of the family's 1533-position model. The record is from RNAcentral.
CCUACGGGAGGCAGCAGUGGGGAAUUUUGGACAAUGGGCGCAAGCCUGAUCCAGCAAUGCCGCGUGAGUGAAGAAGGCCUUCGGGUUGUAAAGCUCUUUUGUCAGGGAAGAAACGGUCUGUUCUAAUACAGCGGGCUAAUGACGGUACCUGAAGAAUAAGCACCGGCUAACUACGUGCCAGCAGCCGCGGUAAUACGUAGGGUGCAAGCGUUAAUCGGAAUUACUGGGCGUAAAGCGUGCGCAGGCGGUUUUGUAAGUUUGUCGUGAAAUCCCCGGGCUCAACCUGGGAAUGGCGAUGAAGACUGCAAGGCUAGAGUUUGGCAGAGGGGGGUAGAAUUCCACGUGUAGCAGUGAAAUGCGUAGAUAUGUGGAGGAACACCGAUGGCGAAGGCAGCCCCCUGGGUCAAAACUGACGCUCAUGCACGAAAGCGUGGGGAGCAAACAGGAUUAGAUACCCUGGUAGUCCACGCCCUAAACGAUGUCUACUAGUUGUCGGGUCUUAAUUGACUUGGUAACGCAGCUAACGCGUGAAGUAGACCGCCUGGGGAGUACGGUCGCAAGAUUAAAACUCAAAGAGUAGAGGCGUGAGAGAGCGACGACGACGACGACGGAGGAGGAGG